This 484-nucleotide ribosomal RNA is filed under the name uncultured bacterium. RNAcentral describes it as "partial 16S ribosomal RNA". It matches the Rfam family "Bacterial small subunit ribosomal RNA", at positions 30 to 507 of the family's 1533-position model. The record is from RNAcentral.
AUUGAACGCUGGCGGCAGGCCUAACACAUGCAAGUCGAGCGGAAGCACAGUACUUGCUUGCGCUUACGGCUGGCGACGGGCGGGCGAUGCCUAGGAACCUCCCUGUCUGUUGUGUAUAGCGUGAGGACGCGGGCGCACAUACGCCAUUAGCCCAUACGACCAACGGGGGGAAUCUUCGGAUCUUCCGCCAUUACGUGAUUCUAGGUCGGAUUAGCUAGUUGGUGGGGUAAAGGCCUACCAAGGCGACGAUCCGUAGCUGGUCUGAGAGGAUGAUCAGUCACACUGGAACUGAGACACGGUCCAGACUCCUACGGGAGGCAGCAGUGGGGAAUAUUGGACAAUGGGCGAAAGCCUGAUCCAGCCAUGCCGCGUGUGUGAAGAAGGUCUUCGGGUUGUAAAGCACUUUAAUUUGGGAGGAAGAGCAGUAAGUUAAUACCUUGCUGUUUUGACGGUACCAACAGAAUAAGCACCGGCUAACUUCGUG